AAUAAGUGAAAUAUCAGCCCAUUUUAAAAUAUAUAAAAAAUAAAAAGUUUAUUCCAAAUAUUUUAAGAUGGCAAUUCGUUUCACCGCAGUUUUGGCUUGUCUCGCCGUCAUGGUUGCGGUGGUUUUGGCCCACGACCACAGCAACAUGGCUCCUGCUCCGUCGCAUUCGCCUGCUCCGGCGCCGGCGCCGGCACACUCCGCCGCCUUCGGCUCUUCUCCAUCUGCGGUGGUUGGGUUGUUGGCACUUGCUGUUUCUUUCAUCGGAGCCAUCGGGAAAAGGAUUUGAGAUCAAUAAUUAAUUAUUUCCUUUCAAUUUAUAUAUAUAUAUAUAUAUAUAUAUAUAUAUAUAUAUAUAUAUAUAUAUAUAUAUAUAUAUAUAUAUAUAUAUAUAUAUAUGAGUGUGCUAUUUUGUUGCAUGUUCUUUUUCCCAGUUUUCAAUGUUUAUUAUGUAUUGUGUAAGCGUUGAUCUUUGUUUAAUUAAUUACUGGAUAUUGAUUUAUGAAUUAAGCUGAUCAUGUGUAUAUUUUCAUUUAUAUUUAUUAAUUAUUUUAUGCA
This 555-nucleotide long non-coding RNA is filed under the name Erythranthe guttata (spotted monkey flower). Its description in RNAcentral is "long non-coding RNA (EGUT_LNC003832)". Lineage: Eukaryota; Viridiplantae; Streptophyta; Magnoliopsida; Lamiales; Phrymaceae. The record is from RNAcentral.